CUACCCGGGUUUCUAAUCCCGUUCGCUCCCCUAGCUUUCGCGCCUCAGCGUCAGUGUCAGCCUAGUAACUCGCCUUCGCCUCUGGUGUUCCUCUUGAUAUCUACGCAUUUCACCGCUACACCAAGAAUUCCAGUUACCCCUUCUGCACUCUAGCAUAACAGUAUCACUUGACCGUUCCGAGUUAAGCCCGGAGAUUUCACAAGUGACUUGUUACGCCGCCUACACGCCCUUUACGCCCAGUAAAUCCGAACAACGCUUGCUCCCUACGUAUUACCGCGGCGGCUGGCAC
Molecule: ribosomal RNA, 289 nt
Filed under: uncultured Acidobacteriota bacterium
Lineage: Bacteria; Pseudomonadati; Acidobacteriota
Description: uncultured Acidobacteria bacterium partial 16S ribosomal RNA
Source: RNAcentral